CCUACGGGGGGCAGCAGUAGGGAAUAUUGCUCAAUGGGGGAAACCCUGAAGCAGCAACGCCGCGUGGAGGAUGAAGGGUUUCGGCGUGUAAAGCCCUUUUGUUAGGGAAGAAAAUGACGGUAUCUAUCCAAUAAGCCCCGGCUAACUACGUGCCAGCAGCCGCGGUAAUACGGAGGGUGCAAGCGUUAUCCGGAUUAACUGGGCGUAAAGGGGGCGUAGGCGGGAUAGCAAGUCAGCAGUGAAAUCCCGUGGCUUAACCAUGGAACUGCGGUUGCAACUGUAUUGCUGGAGUACGGGAGAGGUAGGUGGAAUUCGUGGUGUAGCGGUGAAAUGCGUAGAUAUCAGGAGGAACACCGAUUGCGAAGGCGGCCUGCUGGAACGUAACUGACGCUGAGGCGCGAAGGCGUGGGGAGCAAACAGGAUUAGAUACCCCAGUAGUC
This 440-nucleotide ribosomal RNA is filed under the name uncultured bacterium. Its description in RNAcentral is "partial 16S ribosomal RNA". It matches the Rfam family "Bacterial small subunit ribosomal RNA", at positions 338 to 795 of the family's 1533-position model. The record is from RNAcentral.